This 1742-nucleotide ribosomal RNA is filed under the name Pseudomonas helleri. RNAcentral describes it as "partial 23S ribosomal RNA". It matches the Rfam family "Bacterial large subunit ribosomal RNA", at positions 1221 to 2925 of the family's 2925-position model. Lineage: Bacteria; Pseudomonadati; Pseudomonadota; Gammaproteobacteria; Pseudomonadales; Pseudomonadaceae. The record is from RNAcentral.
UGAUGCGGUAGAGGAGCGUUCUGUAAGCCUGUGAAGGUGAGUUGAGAAGCUUGCUGGAGGUAUCAGAAGUGCGAAUGCUGACAUGAGUAACGAUAAUGGGUGUGAAAAACACCCACGCCGAAAGACCAAGGUUUCCUGCGCAACGUUAAUCGACGCAGGGUUAGUCGGUCCCUAAGGCGAGGCUGAAAAGCGUAGUCGAUGGAAAACAGGUUAAUAUUCCUGUACUUCUGGUUAUUGCGAUGGAGGGACGGAGAAGGCUAGGCCAGCUUGGCGUUGGUUGUCCAAGUUUAAGGUGGUAGGCUGGAAUCUUAGGUAAAUCCGGGAUUCUAAGGCCGAGAGCUGAUGACGAGUGUUCUUUUAGAACACGAAGUGGUUGAUGCCAUGCUUCCAAGAAAAGCUUCUAAGCUUCAGGUAACCAGGAACCGUACCCCAAACCGACACAGGUGGUUGGGUAGAGAAUACCAAGGCGCUUGAGAGAACUCGGGUGAAGGAACUAGGCAAAAUGGCACCGUAACUUCGGGAGAAGGUGCGCCGGUGAGGGUGAAGCAUUUACUGCGUAAGCCCACGCCGGUCGAAGAUACCAGGCCGCUGCGACUGUUUAUUAAAAACACAGCACUCUGCAAACACGAAAGUGGACGUAUAGGGUGUGACGCCUGCCCGGUGCCGGAAGGUUAAUUGAUGGGGUUAGCUAACGCGAAGCUCUUGAUCGAAGCCCCGGUAAACGGCGGCCGUAACUAUAACGGUCCUAAGGUAGCGAAAUUCCUUGUCGGGUAAGUUCCGACCUGCACGAAUGGCGUAACGAUGGCGGCGCUGUCUCCACCCGAGACUCAGUGAAAUUGAAAUCGCUGUGAAGAUGCAGUGUAUCCGCGGCUAGACGGAAAGACCCCGUGAACCUUUACUAUAGCUUUGCACUGGACUUUGAAUUUGCUUGUGUAGGAUAGGUGGGAGGCUUUGAAGCGUGGACGCCAGUCUGCGUGGAGCCAACCUUGAAAUACCACCCUGGCAACUUUGAGGUUCUAACUCAGGUCCGUUAUCCGGAUCGAGGACAGUGUAUGGUGGGUAGUUUGACUGGGGCGGUCUCCUCCUAAAGAGUAACGGAGGAGUACGAAGGUGCGCUCAGACCGGUCGGAAAUCGGUCGUAGAGUAUAAAGGCAAAAGCGCGCUUGACUGCGAGACAGACACGUCGAGCAGGUACGAAAGUAGGUCUUAGUGAUCCGGUGGUUCUGUAUGGAAGGGCCAUCGCUCAACGGAUAAAAGGUACUCCGGGGAUAACAGGCUGAUACCGCCCAAGAGUUCAUAUCGACGGCGGUGUUUGGCACCUCGAUGUCGGCUCAUCACAUCCUGGGGCUGAAGCCGGUCCCAAGGGUAUGGCUGUUCGCCAUUUAAAGUGGUACGCGAGCUGGGUUUAGAACGUCGUGAGACAGUUCGGUCCCUAUCUGCCGUGGACGUUUGAGAUUUGAGAGGGGCUGCUCCUAGUACGAGAGGACCGGAGUGGACGAACCUCUGGUGUUCCGGUUGUCACGCCAGUGGCAUUGCCGGGUAGCUAUGUUCGGGAAAGAUAACCGCUGAAAGCAUCUAAGCGGGAAACUUGCCUCAAGAUGAGAUCUCACUGGAACCUUGAGUUCCCUAAAGGGCCGUCGAAGACUACGACGUUGAUAGGUUGGGUGUGUAAGCGCUGUGAGGCGUUGAGCUAACCAAUACUAAUUGCCCGUGAGGCUUGACCAUAUAACACCCAAGCAAUU